CCUGAUUAUGAUGCUCUGGAUGUUGCCAAC
This 30-nucleotide non-coding RNA is filed under the name Cricetulus griseus (Chinese hamster). Lineage: Eukaryota; Metazoa; Chordata; Mammalia; Rodentia; Cricetidae. The record is from RNAcentral.